UAAGGAAUAUUGGUCAAUGGACGCAAGUCUGAACCAGCCAUGCCGCGUGAAGGAUGAAGGUCCUCUGGAUUGUAAACUUCUUUUACAGGGGAAGAAACUCCCGCAUUCCUGCGGGAUUGACGGUACCCUGGGAAUAAGCACCGGCUAACUCCGUGCCAGCAGCCGCGGUAAUACGGAGGGUGCAAGCGUUAUCCGGAUUCACUGGGUUUAAAGGGUGCGUAGGUGGGCAGGUAAGUCCGUGGUGAAAUCUCUGAGCUUAACUCAGAAACUGCCGUGGAUACUAUCGGUCUUGAAUACCGUGGAGGUGAGCGGAAUAUGUCAUGUAGCGGUGAAAUGCUUAGAUAUGACAUAGAACACCAAUUGCGAAGGCAGCUCACUACACGCUUAUUGACACUGAGGCACGAAAGCGUGGGGAUCAAACAG
This 423-nucleotide ribosomal RNA is filed under the name uncultured bacterium. RNAcentral describes it as "bacterial SSU rRNA". It matches the Rfam family "Bacterial small subunit ribosomal RNA", at positions 355 to 775 of the family's 1533-position model. The record is from RNAcentral.